Molecule: ribosomal RNA, 253 nt
Filed under: uncultured bacterium
Lineage: Bacteria
Description: partial 16S ribosomal RNA
Rfam family: Bacterial small subunit ribosomal RNA
Source: RNAcentral
GACGUAGGGCGCGAGCGUUGUCCGGAUUUAUUGGGCGUAAAGAGCUCGUAGGCGGCUUGUUGCGUCAGCUGUGAAAACCCGCAGCUCAACUGUGGGCUUGCAGCUGAUACGGGCAGGCUUGAGUUCGGUAGGGGAGACUGGAAUUCCUGGUGUAGCGGUGAAAUGCGUAGAUAUCGGGAGGAACACCAGUGGCGAAGGCGGCAUCCUGGCCAUGUCCUGACGCUCAGGGGCGAAAGCGUGGGGAGCAAACCGG